AGAGCGAACGCUGGCGGCAGGCCUAACACAUGCAAGUCGAGCGCCCGUAGCAAUACGGGAGCGGCAGACGGGAGAGUAACACGUGGGAACGUGCCCUUCAGUUCGGAACAACCCAGGGAAACUUGGGCUAAAUACCGGAUACGCCCUUACGGGGAAAGAUUUAUCGCUGAAGGAGCGGCCCGCGUCUGAUUAGCUAGUUGGUGGGGUAACGGCCCACCAAGGCGACGAUCAGUAGCU
This 237-nucleotide ribosomal RNA is filed under the name uncultured bacterium. RNAcentral's name for it is "partial small subunit ribosomal RNA". It matches the Rfam family "Bacterial small subunit ribosomal RNA", at positions 26 to 288 of the family's 1533-position model. The record is from RNAcentral.